RNAcentral lists this ribosomal RNA (1006 nucleotides) under Salmonella enterica subsp. enterica serovar Typhimurium. RNAcentral describes it as "partial 23S ribosomal RNA". It matches the Rfam family "Bacterial large subunit ribosomal RNA", at positions 830 to 1749 of the family's 2925-position model. The record is from RNAcentral. Lineage: Bacteria; Pseudomonadati; Pseudomonadota; Gammaproteobacteria; Enterobacterales; Enterobacteriaceae.
CAAUCAAACCGGGAGAUAGCUGGUUCUCCCCGAAAGCUAUUUAGGUAGCGCCUCGUGAAUUCAUCUCCGGGGGUAGAGCACUGUUUCGGCUAGGGGGCCAUCCCGGCUUACCAACCCGAUGCAAACUGCGAAUACCGGAGAAUGUUAUCACGGGAGACACACGGCGGGUGCUAACGUCCGUCGUGAAGAGGGAAACAACCCAGACCGCCAGCUAAGGUCCCAAAGUCAUGGUUAAGUGGGAAACGAUGUGGGAAGGCCCAGACAGCCAGGAUGUUGGCUUAGAAGCAGCCAUCAUUUAAAGAAAGCGUAAUAGCUCACUGGUCGAGUCGGCCUGCGCGGAAGAUGUAACGGGGCUAAACCAUGCACCGAAGCUGCGGCAGCGAACGUAUCACCCAAGACAACUUUACGGAGUUGACGAUUGACGGAGCGAAGCGACGUCAAAGCGUUCAUUAAAGUCGAGUUGGCUUAGGGAUACGUUCGUUGGGUAGGGGAGCGUUCUGUAAGCCUGUGAAGGUGUGUCGUGAGGCAUGCUGGAGGUAUCAGAAGUGCGAAUGCUGACAUAAGUAACGAUAAAGCGGGUGAAAAGCCCGCUCGCCGGAAGACCAAGGGUUCCUGUCCAACGUUAAUCGGGGCAGGGUGAGUCGACCCCUAAGGCGAGGCCGAAAGGCGUAGUCGAUGGGAAACGGGUUAAUAUUCCCGUACUUGGUGUUACUGCGAAGGGGGGACGGAGAAGGCUAUGUUGGCCGGGCGACGGUUGUCCCGGUUUAAGCGUGUAGGUGUGUGUUCCAGGUAAAUCCGGUUCACUUUAACACUGAGGCGUGACGACGAGGCACUACGGUGCUGAAGCAACAAAUGCCCUGCUUCCAGGAAAAGCCUCUAAGCAUCAGGUAACAUCAAAUCGUACCCCAAACCGACACAGGUGGUCAGGUAGAGAAUACCAAGGCGCUUGAGAGAACUCGGGUGAAGGAACUAGGCAAAAUGGUGCCGUAACUUCGGGAGAAGGCAC